RNAcentral lists this ribosomal RNA (868 nucleotides) under uncultured archaeon. RNAcentral describes it as "bacterial SSU rRNA". It matches the Rfam family "Archaeal small subunit ribosomal RNA", at positions 1 to 878 of the family's 1478-position model. The record is from RNAcentral.
CUCCGGUUGAUCCCGCCGGACCCGACUGCUAUCAGAGUGGGACUAAGCCAUGCGAGUCAACGCCGCAAGGCGUGGCAUACGGCUCAGUAACACGUAGUCAACAUGCCCAGGGGACGUGGAUAACCUCGGGAAACUGAGGAUAAACCGCGAUAGGCCAAGGUUUCUGGAAUGGACACUGGCUGAAACCUAUAUGGCCCCUGGAUUGGACUGCGGCCGAUCAGGCUGUUGGUGAGGUAAUGGCCCACCAAACCUGUAACCGGUACGGGCUCUGAGAGGAGGAGCCCGGAGAUGGGCACUGAGACAAGGGCCCAGGCCCUAUGGGGCGCAGCAGGCGCGAAACCUCUGCAAUAGGCGAAAGCUUGACAGGGUUACUCUGAGUGAUUUCCGUUAAGGAGAUCUUUUGGCACCUCUAAAAAUGGUGCAGAAUAAGGGGUGGGCAAGUCUGGUGUCAGCCGCCGCGGUAAUACCAGCACCCCGAGUGGUCGGGACGUUUAUUGGGCCUAAAGCAUCCGUAGCCGGUUCUACAAGUCUUCCGUUAAAUCCACCUGCUUAACAGAUGGGCUGCGGAAGAUACUAUAGAGCUAGGAGGCGGGAGAGGCAAGCGGUACUCGAUGGGUAGGGGUAAAAUCCGUUGAUCCAUUGAAGACCACCAGUGGCGAAGGCGGCUUGCCAGAACGCGCUCGACGGUGAGGGAUGAAAGCUGGGGGAGCAAACCGGAUUAGAUACCCGGGUAGUCCCAGCUGUAAACGAUGCAGACUCGGUGAUGAGUUGGCUUAUUGCUAACUCAGUGCCGCAGGGAAGCCGUUAAGUUUGCCGCCUGGGGAGUACGGUCGCAAGACUGAAACUUAAAGGAAUUGGCGGGGGAGCA